RNAcentral lists this ribosomal RNA (404 nucleotides) under Verrucomicrobiota bacterium. RNAcentral's name for it is "Verrucomicrobia bacterium partial 16S ribosomal RNA". It matches the Rfam family "Bacterial small subunit ribosomal RNA", at positions 355 to 776 of the family's 1533-position model. Lineage: Bacteria; Pseudomonadati; Verrucomicrobiota. The record is from RNAcentral.
UGGGGAAUAUUGCACAAUGGGCGCAAGCCUGAUGCAGCAACGCCGCGUGAACGAUGAAGGUCUUCGGAUCGUAAAGUUCUGUUGCAGGGGAAGAUAAUGACGGUACCCUGUGAGGAAGCCCCGGCUAACUACGUGCCAGCAGCCGCGGUAAUACGUAGGGGGCUAGCGUUAUCCGGAAUCACUGGGCGUAAAGGGUUCGCAGGCGGAAAUGCAAGUCAGGUGUAAAAGGCAGUAGCUUAACUACUGUAAGCAUUUGAAACUGCAUAUCUUGAGAAGAGUAGAGGUAAGUGGAAUUUUUAGUGUAGCGGUGAAAUGCGUAGAUAUUAGGAGGAAUACCUGUGGCGAAGGCGACUUACUGGACACAAAUCUGACGCUGAGGAACGAAAGCGUGGGUAGCAAACAGG